UAAAUUAAAUUUCAUAGAUAAAUUAACACGAAGUUGAAGGAGCUAGUUAUUAUAUAUUUAUAGAUAUGACGAUGUUGCAAAAUUUAGAAAAUAAUAACUAGGGGUGAUAGGCUUUUCACAUUCAACGAUAACUUGAUGGUUGAGAAAUGUAUUAGUACGAAGAUACUCUUGAAGUGAUAAGGUUUUAAGAGAGAAACAAAAGGGGGUUAAUAUUUUGUAUCUUAUUUAACCAUAAAUAUAUUUAAUAAUUAAUAUCCAUUUACUAAAUUUGUUUAAAUUACUAACCACUUGUUAAAUUGUCACACAUAUAUAUAAUGUUUAAAUAAGUAACAAGGAGUUAUAAUUAAUGAACUCGGCAAGAAACCUUUCAACUGUUUAUCAAAAACAUAGCUAUAUGAUUAAAUAUAUAGUGCUUUCUGCUCAAUGAAAAUUAAAUAGCCGCAGUACCCUGACUGUGCUAAGGUAGCGCAAUCAAUUGACUUUUGAAUGAAGUCCUGUAUGAAAGAAACUAUGGAGGGUUACUCUCUCAUUUAUAAUAAAUGAAUUUACUUAGGAAGUGCAAAUUCUUCUUUUAAAAUAAAAGACGAGAAGACCCUAGAAAUUUUAGAGAAAAUAUCUUUUUGUUGGGGCAACAGAGUAGUAAUUAAUCUACUACAAAGACACGGAACUAUUAUUUGGCAAGAUAAAAUUACUCUAGGGAUAACAGCAUAAUUUUGAAAAGUUUGUGACCUCGAUGUUGGAUUAGGGAAUUAACAUCUAGAAG
RNAcentral lists this ribosomal RNA (763 nucleotides) under Austrochloritis paucisetosa. Its description in RNAcentral is "partial large subunit ribosomal RNA". The record is from RNAcentral. Lineage: Eukaryota; Metazoa; Mollusca; Gastropoda; Stylommatophora; Camaenidae.